GUCCCUUUUGAAUUUCAGCGGCCCAAGUUUAAUUUUCAGCAACCCCAUACUUCUCCAGAAACCAGUAACCCAUUUCCCUCCCCAUUCCAAUUCAUCACCAGCCCACCACUUUUACCCUUACCCGCCCUGUACGCGUACAACAAAGACAACAUCUUUGUUGUCUUCUCCUCCCAACGUCUCUUUCAAUUCGUACUAUCGCAGAAGCACCCCUAUCAGCGCAAGAUUGAGUCACGUUGCUCGUCAAGAACCAUGGAACCAAUUUGGGUCGUCGAUUCGCCGUUUCCUCUUUUGGAAUGGGUUGAAACUUCAGAAAAAGGGUGUUUCCCUUUAGUGGUGAGUUUUGAAUUUUAAAAUUUGAAAUGGGCCCUUGUUUAUUCCAAUUCUACCCUCAUCUUUUCCUCUCAAUCUCUGCCCUAGUUUCAUUCUAUAAAUGUUGCCCUCUGAAUCAUUCUUAAGGAAGGGGGAAAUUGGAGGAUUUUCGGGAGAAAAGGGGAGGAAAAAAUAUUGAGAGUUGGGAAAAGUCGGCAAGAACUUACUAAGGGAAACCACUAGGCUGAAAUAGUCAUAUAGGAAAUACAAGAAAAUACACCUUAAAUACAUACAUUUUUAUGUUAUUUGGUUGCUGGGAUCUUCUACGAUUUAAGGUUAGUGGUGAAGUGUUACUCCAAGCUCAAGUGUUGUCAAGUUUCGCUGCCCCGAGAAAAAUCCUACUUCAUCCAUUUGCAUUCUCUUGUUGAGCCGUAAAGUCUCAAACCCUUACCCCCGAGUCUGCCAGCCUUUUCGAAAUUGACGUACAGGUUGAGAGCAGCAAGUAUACUGCUGGGAAUUAAGUUUACAGGCCUCCAAAGGCUCAAAACAAAUGGAUAUACCGGCUGUAUACAUUAAUAUACAGCCGUAAUAUAUGAUAUACAGGUGCAAAAAAUGUGAAAACUCGGCAUAAAAUACAGGACAUAAUUUUCAAAAAAGGUCCAAAGUGGGGUCGUGUACGGCCUAUAUACCAGAAUAUACAUAAAGUGUAUACACAGAAUAUUUUGAAGGAAAAUAGGCCAAAAAGCCCAAAAAUUCCAGCAGCAGAAAAUGGGCUCAAAGGCCCAAAAUUGAUGCUUCUAUCCCUACUCUUUAUUUAUUAUUAUAGCCACUAACAUUUAUUUAAUUUUUGGUUAAUUAAUUCUAAAUGAUAGUCAUUUCUCUUUUGUUAUA
Molecule: long non-coding RNA, 1200 nt
Organism: Solanum lycopersicum (tomato)
Lineage: Eukaryota; Viridiplantae; Streptophyta; Magnoliopsida; Solanales; Solanaceae
Source: RefSeq, a predicted model, not a curated record